ACAACGGAGAGUUUGAUCCUGGCUCAGGAUGAACGCUAGCGGCAGGCUUAACACAUGCAAGUC
Molecule: ribosomal RNA, 63 nt
Filed under: Muribaculaceae bacterium
Lineage: Bacteria; Pseudomonadati; Bacteroidota; Bacteroidia; Bacteroidales; Muribaculaceae
Description: partial 16S ribosomal RNA
Rfam family: Bacterial small subunit ribosomal RNA
Source: RNAcentral